This is a long non-coding RNA of Pan troglodytes (chimpanzee), 1234 nucleotides long. The record is from Ensembl. NCBI's taxonomy places the organism in Eukaryota, Metazoa, Chordata, Mammalia, Primates, Hominidae.
CUUGCUUAGAAGCACAAACUAGGCUGGAAGAAAACUAGCUAAUAGAGUUGUGGUCAGACAUGGAUUACACUUUUCCAAGCAUUGGAAUAUGGCAAUAUUAAUCAUGUUUCUACAAAUCGUCUUUUAUUUCUUCUUCUUUUUUUUGAGACGGGGUCUCACUGGAGUGCAGUGGUGUGAUCUUGGCUCACUGCAACCUCCGCCUCCUGGUUCAAGUGAUCCUCCCGCUUUAGCCUCUUGAGUAGCUGGGAUUACAGGUACAUGCCACCACGCCUGGCUAAUUUUUGUAUUUUCUGUAGACAUGAUGUCUCACUAUGUUGCCCAGGCUGGUCUCGAACUCCUGGACUCAAGCGAUCCGCCCGCCUCAGCCUCUCAAAGUGCCGGGAUUACAGGCAUGAGCCACCACGCCCAGCCCACCUUUUGUUUCUUCUCAUUCUGCAUAUGUGGAAUUUGCUGCAUCUGACAGACAACUGGGGAUUCUUUGAGCUGAAAGAGCUUCGUGACGCUGCGGUAUCCAGCUCCCUGGCUGGACAGACGAGGAGGCCAAGGAGCAAAAAGAAGAGGUGACCUGUGACUAUAUGAUCACCAGUGAAGCUGACUGACAAGGGAUGAAGAGUGAAAAUUACAAUUUGAGAACCUCUUUGGUCAGCUAUUGGGAAAGAAUGAACUCUCCCCUGUGCAAACCACCUCAUGAUUUUUCAGGAAGCCAGGGCGAGGAACUUGGAUUCCAAAGCCUAGAGAAAGAUGUGAGCGGCAAAACUUUCUUUUGGUGGGUGAGGAGACUGGCGUGGGGAGAAGCGGUUUCUGCGGGAGGCGUCUCCACUGCAGGGUAGGGGGGCGGUGUUGGGAGGACUUCCACUUGCUGGCGAUAUUGACUAGAAAACAAGACUCAUUUUGUCUAUCUUUUCCUGGAUAAAGGACUGAUCGGCUCCCCCCACUGCAGCUGUUUUGUUCUUCAAAUAUAUUAUCACUUUUUAAACGGAUGGUAAAGGAAAAAAAUGCAUUCAUUUUUUCAGCCCAAGGAGACUGCAGGAAAAAGCAGUUCUGCUGCUGAGGUACAACGUAGCAUAAUGUUUUUCAAAACACCACCAGUUCUGCCUUCUCCUUUUAAUGGUAUUCAUUUUCCUUCUUAGAAAAGGGGUUAAAAUUAGUAGGCACAUUUCAUAUUAGCGUAUUUCAUGCAAUAAAGCAUAAAUUAUUUAAAAUAACACGACCUUUUAUCUUGCACCUUUUGAAG